UACGUAGGGGGCAAGCGUUGUCCGGAAUCAUUGGCGUAAAGAGCGCGUAGGCGGCCCUGUAAGUCCGCUGUGAAAGUCAAGGGCUCAACCCUUGGAUGCCGGUGGAUACUGCAGGGCUAGAGUCCGGAAGAGGCGAGUGGAAUUCCUGGUGUAGCGGUGAAAUGCGCAGAGUAUCAGGAGGAACACCGAUGGCGAAGGCAGCUCGCUGGGACGGUACUGACGCUGAGACGCGAAAGCGUGGGGAGCGAACAGG
This 253-nucleotide ribosomal RNA is filed under the name uncultured bacterium. RNAcentral's name for it is "partial 16S ribosomal RNA". It matches the Rfam family "Bacterial small subunit ribosomal RNA", at positions 524 to 776 of the family's 1533-position model. The record is from RNAcentral.